AAAUGAAAACACAGAGCACUUGUUAGAACUCAUUUGCCAACAUCAAAAGUUCUCUUCUUCUCAUCUGGGUGUAGCCAGGCUUUAGGUGCUUAUGUUGAUGAUGAUAAUGUGAAGAAGUGUCUGGCAGAGAAGCAUGGAGGGCACUUUGUUAAUGAAUUGAAGUAAAAGAAUGAUUUGAGAAAUCGCCUCAUGAAAAAUGUCGUUAGGCUUCAAAUAGUGUAUGGGGCGCAGAUUAAGAUUUCGUUUUUGACACUCCUUUCAAAGAAUCUGUUGGCAACAGAUUACAUAAGUUUGGGGUAUAUGGUAGCACAUAAUUGCUGCAAAGUGCUUUCGAAGAAUCUGUUGGCAAUAGAUUACUUAGGUUUGGGGAAUAAUACCACAUAAUUGCUCCAAAGGGAACGAGCAGUGGCUGCAACAUUCACAGUUUUGUUGAGAGGAGUUGCGCCUUCUUUGGCUUCAUUUAGCUGGACUGAGUCUGAAAGUUUAUCUAGAGGUUGGAUUAUGAAAUUGCUCGUUGUUCCAGCGGUAGGAAAAAAAUAAAGAUGAGGUCCUAUUUGUGGAAGAAGAAGGAUGAGUCUUUACGUAGAUUAAACAUAAAUAAAAUUAUAUCAGAAUUUAAAAUGUUGAGCACGGGAAAGAACCAUCUAGUAUUAUACAUGAAUGUAUUCAUAUGUUGUUGUAUUCAGUCACAAAUGCCAAAUACAUUAUAAAUAAAAGUCUUUUAACAAUAGAA
Long non-coding RNA from Solanum dulcamara, 733 nucleotides. RefSeq lists it as uncharacterized. The record is from RefSeq and is a predicted model, not a curated record. Lineage: Eukaryota; Viridiplantae; Streptophyta; Magnoliopsida; Solanales; Solanaceae. The transcript is spliced from 5 exons.